CAAACUGGAGAUGGCGACCGGCGCACGGGUGAGUAACACGUAUCCAACCUGCCGAUGACUCGGGGAUAGCCUUUCGAAAGAAAGAUUAAUACCCGAUGGCAUAGUUCUUCCGCAUGGUGGAACUAUUAAAGAAUUUCGGUCAUCGAUGGGGAUGCGUUCCAUUAGGUUGUUGGCGGGGUAACGGCCCACCAAGCCUUCGAUGGAUAGGGGUUCUGAGAGGAAGGUCCCCCACAUUGGAACUGAGACACGGUCCAAACUCCUACGGGAGGCAGCAUG
RNAcentral lists this ribosomal RNA (276 nucleotides) under uncultured bacterium. Its description in RNAcentral is "partial 16S ribosomal RNA". It matches the Rfam family "Bacterial small subunit ribosomal RNA", at positions 77 to 353 of the family's 1533-position model. The record is from RNAcentral.